CCUGGUGAAGUGCACAAGACAUUCAAGAUUUUUUGUGGUAAUCUUGCUGGAGCAGCAACAAAGGAUGAUUUACGCUAUCUUUUCUCACAAUACGGGCCAGUUAUUGAGGCUGUUGUCAUGGUUGGCAAGUUCUAUGGAUUUGUGCACAUGGCUUAUGAGGAGGACGGCUGGAAGGCAAUAUGCGAACUUCGGGGCUACAAUCUUCAUGGUAAAGCUAUGGCAGUGGAGGCUUCAAUUAAUUCAGAAAGCUGCACCUGUAUUCAAGCAUAAUAUAAUAGGAAAAGGC
This is a non-coding RNA of Cherax quadricarinatus, 286 nucleotides long. The record is from RefSeq and is a predicted model, not a curated record. Lineage: Eukaryota; Metazoa; Arthropoda; Malacostraca; Decapoda; Parastacidae.